UUCCCGUCGACGAGCUCAGAGUUUGAUCCUGGCUCAGAUUGAACGCUGGCGGCAGGCCUAACACAUGCAAGUCGAGCGGUAACAGAUCUAGCUUGCUAGAUGCUGACGAGCGGCGGACGGGUGAGUAAUGCAUAGGAAUCUGCCCGAUAGUGGGGGAUAACCUGGGGAAACCCAGGCUAAUACCGCAUACGUCCUACGGGAGAAAGGGGGCUUCGGCUCCCGCUAUUGGAUGAGCCUAUGUCGGAUUAGCUAGUUGGUGAGGUAAAGGCUCACCAAGGCAACGAUCCGUAGCUGGUCUGAGAGGAUGAUCAGCCACAUCGGGACUGAGACACGGCCCGAACUCCUACGGGAGGCAGCAGUGGGGAAUAUUGGACAAUGGGGGCAACCCUGAUCCAGCCAUGCCGCGUGUGUGAAGAAGGCCCUCGGGUUGCAAAGCACUUUCAGCGAGGAAGAACGCCUGGCGGUUAAUACCCGCCAGGAAAGACAUCACUCGCAGAAGAAGCACCGGCUAACUCCGUGCCAGCAGCCGCGGUAAUACGGAGGGUGCAAGCGUUAAUCGGAAUUACUGGGCGUAAAGCGCGCGUAGGUGGCUUGAUAAGCCGGUUGUGAAAGCCCCGGGCUCAACCUGGGAACGGCAUCCGGAACUGUCAGGCUAGAGUGCAGGAGAGGAAGGUAGAAUUCCCGGUGUAGCGGUGAAAUGCGUAGAGAUCGGGAGGAAUACCAGUGGCGAAGGCGGCCUUCUGGACUGACACUGACACUGAGGUGCGAAAGCGUGGGUAGCAAACAGGAUUAGAUACCCUGGUAGUCCACGCCGUAAACGAUGUCGACCAGCCGUUGGGUGCCUAGAGCACUUUGUGGCGAAGUUAACGCGAUAAGUCGACCGCC
This 885-nucleotide ribosomal RNA is filed under the name Halomonas sp. SCULCB HVA-7. RNAcentral's name for it is "bacterial SSU rRNA". It matches the Rfam family "Bacterial small subunit ribosomal RNA", at positions 1 to 873 of the family's 1533-position model. The record is from RNAcentral. Lineage: Bacteria; Pseudomonadati; Pseudomonadota; Gammaproteobacteria; Oceanospirillales; Halomonadaceae.